GAUGAAGAACGUAGCGAAUUGCGAUAAGUAAUGUGAAUUGCAGAAUUCAGUGAAUCAUCGAAUCUUUGAACGCACAUUGCGCCCGCCAGCAUUCUGGCGGGCAUGCCUGUUCGAGCGUCAUUUCAACCCUCGAGCCCCCCCGGGGGCCUCGGUGUUGGGGGACGGCACACCAGCCGCCCCCGAAAUGCAGUGGCGACCCCGCCGCAGCCUCCCCUGCGUAGUAGCACACACCUCGCACCGGAGCGCGGAGGCGGUCACGCCGUAAAACGCCCAACUUUCUUAGAGUUGACCUCGGAUCAGGUAGGAAUACCCGCUGAACUUAAGCAUAUCAAUAAGCGGAGGA
RNAcentral lists this unclassified non-coding RNA (343 nucleotides) under soil metagenome. Its description in RNAcentral is "partial contains 5.8S ribosomal RNA, internal transcribed spacer 2, and large subunit ribosomal RNA". The stretch from base 1 to 120 matches the Rfam family "5.8S ribosomal RNA", at positions 35 to 154 of the family's 154-position model. The record is from RNAcentral.